This 344-nucleotide unclassified non-coding RNA is filed under the name soil metagenome. Its description in RNAcentral is "partial contains 5.8S ribosomal RNA, internal transcribed spacer 2, and large subunit ribosomal RNA". The stretch from base 1 to 120 matches the Rfam family "5.8S ribosomal RNA", at positions 35 to 154 of the family's 154-position model. The record is from RNAcentral.
GAUGAAGAACGCAGCGAAAUGCGAUACGUAAUGUGAAUUGCAGAAUUCAGUGAAUCAUCGAGUCUUUGAACGCACAUUGCGCCCCCUGGUAUUCUGGGGGGCAUGCCUGUCCGAGCGUCAUUGCUGCCCUCAAGCACGGCUUGUGUGUUGGGCCUCCGUCCUCCUCCCGGGGGACGGGCCCGAAAGGCAGCGGCGGCACCGCGUCCGGUCCUCGAGCGUAUGGGGCUUCGUCACCCGCUCUUGUAGGCCCGGCCGGCGCUUGCCGACACAUCAAUCUUUUUUCCAGGUUGACCUCGGAUCAGGUAGGGAUACCCGCUGAACUUAAGCAUAUCAAUAAGGGAGGA